GAUGAACGCUGGCGGCGUGCCUAAUACAUGCAAGUCGAGCGAACGGACGACAGGCUUGCUGCGCUGAUGAUUGCCGCAGACGUGAGAGUAACACGUGGAUACCCCACCUAUAAGACUGGGAUAACCUCGGGAAACCGGCUCUAAUUCCGUAUGAUAUUUUUAACCGCAUGGUUCAACUGUGAAAGACGGUCUUUCUGUCACUUAUCGCUGCAUCCGCGCUGCAUUAGCUAGUUGGUAAGGUAACGGCUUACCAAGGCAACGAUGCAUAGCCGACCUGAGAGGGUGGUCGGCCGCCCUGGAACGGAGACACGGUCCAGACUACUACGGGAGGCCGCAGUAGGGAAUCUUCCGCAAUAGGCGGAAGCAUGACGGAGUGACGCAGCGUGAGUGAUGAAGGUCUUCGGAUCGUGAAACUCUGUUACGAGGGAAGAACAUAUGUGUGAGGAGCUGUGCACAUAUUGACGGUACCUAAUCAGAAAGCAACGGCUAACUACGUG
RNAcentral lists this ribosomal RNA (497 nucleotides) under uncultured bacterium. Its description in RNAcentral is "partial 16S ribosomal RNA". It matches the Rfam family "Bacterial small subunit ribosomal RNA", at positions 28 to 507 of the family's 1533-position model. The record is from RNAcentral.